RNAcentral lists this long non-coding RNA (417 nucleotides) under Ananas comosus (pineapple). RNAcentral's name for it is "long non-coding RNA (ACOM_LNC041471)". The record is from RNAcentral. Lineage: Eukaryota; Viridiplantae; Streptophyta; Magnoliopsida; Poales; Bromeliaceae.
AGCUGUUAUACAAUUUAUUAAUAAAAUUAAUUAAUUAUAUAUAUAAUUAAUUAUAUAUAUGUGUGUGUGCGGCGGGUGUGUGUGUGAGUGUGAGAGAGAGAAUGAAGUGGAGGGUUGGGGGACAGGUGUCACUAUAUGUGUGUGUGUGAGAGAGAGAGAGAGAGAGAAUGAAGUGGAGGGUUGGGAGACAGGUGUCACCCUGAGGUUCCCCCAACUGCCCAACCCUUCUUUAAUGUAAUAGUAAGUUUAUAUAUAUCUAUAUUAUAUAUAAAAACACGUAUUUCAAAUUUGGGUCUGUCGACAGACCCAUUUUUUGGAGGGAAAAAAAUAUUGUUUCCUCUUUCCUUACGUAAAAUAAAUAACGUAAUAAAACAAACUUUUAAUUUCUAUUUAUCUCUAAAAUAGAAAAAAAAUACU